CCAACCCCGACUUGACGACAACGUCAUAAUCCAAGAUGGCAGCGCAGUGCAUCAAGAGUAAAGAGUAAAAGUGAAAAGUGGUGUAUGUUGUACUGCCCAAAGUCUAACUCUGAACGCGAUGCUAAGGUGUCUGUAAGAGUAAAAUAAUAUUGUGUUAUGUGUUGUUUACAACUGGUAUAGCUAACAACAACUAACAACCACUGACAAUUGCUAACGACACAUGACAAUUGUUAACAACAGCUAACAAAGGCUAACAGUAGAUGUCCAUCUUGGUUUUCCAACUUGUUUACUAGAACGCUGUCAACUCGGUUGUAACAUCAUUUCCAGCUCUGACAUCCGAGGUAACUGGAACGCAGCAGUACUACUCCCUGCCAUUAGGAUUCAACUGUUUGCAAGAGCUCAAGUAUAGCCAUGCAUAUGUAAGUACAUCCCUCAAAACCUGAUAUCAGACGCUCUACAUACUGUACUUCUCCAGUGUCUGCUUGUGAUUGGACUUAUCUCUCUUGCUGUAUAUACAAGUCAAAACUAAAACGUUUUCUUUUGCAAGAACCAAAUAUACGUAGUUGUGUUCUAACAAGGAUAUUAACAAGAUAAAGAAAUGAUCCAAAACUGAAUCAGUUUAAAGACCCACUCCGAUAAAUACCACAUUGUUCUUGUUGUCUACAUGUUUAUAUGGCAUUUUUCUGAUGCUACUGGACAUAUCAUGAGAAAAAUAAGUGCCAAAUUGCAUUUUUUUCUGCAUUCAGAUCUCUGGCAGACCCAAAUGGCAGGUUCAGAAACAGUGAGAUUUCCUACAUCACAAUUCCAAGCUCCACCCCCAGAGCCCGGCUAUGUAGGUCAGACUGGUGACAGGUGACUUAAUUUUGGCUAAAAACCAUCGUAAUCACAAUUUAAAGAUCACUAUCAACACUUGUAGUAGUCAAAUAAAAUACGGUGUGAGACUUUAAGUCAUGUACAUUUUCUCUGAUGAUUUCUACAGCUGUUGGCUAUUUCUUCCUGAUGAUUAUUACUGACAUUUCCCCGCUGGUGCACAACUUCUUUGUGUACAAAAACCUCGGCCAUAUAGUUUAAAGUACAACGCAGAGGUUGAGUAUAUAUAAAAACAAAAAUAAUUUUAAUCUAUACGAUUUCUUGACCAUAAGUGGAUCAUUUCACAUGUACACGCGUCCUGUUAUUACCACAUUAAACAUCAACAGUAAUCGCUGCCUUUUCUUGCAAGUACUGAUACACUAUAAAGGACUGCAAUUCAAGUCGAAGUGAAGGUCAAUUCACACGCUGGGCAACAUUCAUAUUUGGCACCUGUCAGAUUGAAACAACAUCAUCUUGACAGGUUGACAGUGCAGUUUGUAUGUUUGCCACAUGAGCGAGGAUGUUGACGUUCAGGCGAGGGGGACACAGGCAGCUUACCACCAAUUAGGAGACCCAGUGACAUUCCGCUCAGAGGAGUUUUUGGCCGAACCUACUUAGAUGAACGACACGCAGCUGAUUUUGAAGUUUACUUUCUCAGUGUGAAAAGCUUUUUCUCAAACAGCUCAUAGAAGAUCUGAAAAAAAGAAAAAAGAAAAGAAAAAAAAAGAAAGCAGUAUUGAGUGACUUCAAGAAGAACACAGACACAGACAGGAGGACACAGCACUAUGGCAACAGGAGCCCA
This is a non-coding RNA of Xyrichtys novacula (pearly razorfish), 1651 nucleotides long. The record is from the annotation of a GenBank genome assembly. Lineage: Eukaryota; Metazoa; Chordata; Actinopteri; Labriformes; Labridae.